Molecule: long non-coding RNA, 1162 nt
Organism: Malus domestica (apple)
Lineage: Eukaryota; Viridiplantae; Streptophyta; Magnoliopsida; Rosales; Rosaceae
Source: RefSeq, a predicted model, not a curated record
GGAAUGAGUUAUUAGCAAACAAAGUUAGAGGGCAAAAUGAUGAUUUUAGGAGAGGAUUCUAGAAGCCAAAGGCUUCUCUUCUUUUUCUUUCCCCGGCAGGCAGAUGCAGCGAGGGGGGGGCGCUAUUGUGGUAUCUCCCCCUUAAUUCUUCUUCACUCCAAAAAUGAUAACUUUCUCAUACGGCAAUGAAAUCACACACGGUCGAAAGCUAUGUAUUCAUAACGAAGCCCUCUUCAAUUUGAUACCAAAAUCAUAUGCUGGAACCAAGUGUGUUCAUAUAUUGAAGCCUAGAAGUUUCGACGGUUUUCAUGGGUUUUUCGCCGAUUAUGGCCAAACUCGCAGGAGAUGUGUCUCGACCCAAGAGAGAAAAAUACUCCUCUCAUCAUGCACUUCCAGGAUAUGUAAGUGGAUCUUUCGAAUUCCAAAUUUCAUUUUCGAACAAGUUUGAGAUUGAAGUGUUUAACUCGAAAUUUUGGGAUUCUUGUUGAGGAUUCGUGAUGAUGAAGUUGAUUUAAGAGUGUAAUAGCGAAUUGGCAGAUUGAUGAACAACUUUGGAGGAGUUUGGAGGGGGUUACAGUGAUGAUGACGACGAUGGUGGGUGAUGGCUCAUUGACGGCAGUGUAAACAGUGAUGAUAAUAUAUGGUGAUGGUAGAGGUGGCAAUGAUGAUGAUGGGUGGUGAUAGGUGAAACAUGGAUGAUGGCGAAUGGAAGUGGUGGCAACGAUGAUGAUGGUAGGUAGUAGUGGUGGUACUAAUGAUAGUGAUGAAGAUGAUGUUUGUUGUAGGCGGUACAAUGGCAGUGGUGAUCAUAGGUGGUAGUGGUGGCACCGAUGAUGUUGAUGGUUGGCAGUGGUGGCAUUGAAGGUGGCGACGAGCUACGGUGGGUGGUGGCGAUGACAUCAAUGAUGAUUGUGACUGGUGGUGCGGCGGCAAGGGUGGUGAGAAAAUUAUUAUUAUUGUUGUUUAAUUUUUCAUUCAUAAAAAUUUAGAAAUGACAACUAUUUAUAUAGAAUUUGCCGGUGGGAAUUGAAGGUUUCAAAUACCAAAUUUAUUUUUUCAUGCUAAAAUUUUAAAUUUCUUAUGAAUCCAACAAGGAAGUUGUGCAUGAUAAUUUAUAAAUUCUGGGAUUUGUUCAAAUUUAAGUAUAUUUUCCUCAUCUAAA